AACGAACGCUGGCGGCAUGCCUAACACAUGCAAGUCGAACGAGACCUUCGGGUCUAGUGGCGCACGGGUGCGUAACGCGUGGGAACCUGCCCUUAGGUUCGGAAUAACUCCCCGAAAGGGGUGCUAAUACCGGAUAAUGUCUUUGGACCAAAGAUUUAUCGCCUUUGGAUGGGCCCGCGUUGGAUUAGCUAGUUGGUGGGGUAAAAGCCUACCAAGGCGACGAUCCAUAGCUGGUCUGAGAGGAUGAUCAGCCACACUGGGACUGAGACACGGCCCAGACUCCUACGGUAGGCAGCAGUGGGGAAUAUUGGACAAUGGGCGAAAGCCUGAUCCAGCAAUGCCGCGUGAGUGAUGAAGGCCUUAGGGUUGUAAAGCUCUUUUACCCGGGAUGAUAAUGACAGUACCGGGAGAAUAAGCUCCGGCUAACUCCGUG
This 433-nucleotide ribosomal RNA is filed under the name uncultured bacterium. RNAcentral's name for it is "partial 16S ribosomal RNA". It matches the Rfam family "Bacterial small subunit ribosomal RNA", at positions 29 to 507 of the family's 1533-position model. The record is from RNAcentral.